This is a long non-coding RNA of Oxyura jamaicensis (ruddy duck), 236 nucleotides long. RefSeq lists it as uncharacterized. The transcript has 3 exons. The record is from RefSeq and is a predicted model, not a curated record. NCBI's taxonomy places the organism in Eukaryota, Metazoa, Chordata, Aves, Anseriformes, Anatidae.
UGUCUCAUAUGAAGGGCUCUGAUGCCACCCAUUUCAUAUUGGAAAUUCAAGGCAAAAGGUAACGUGAGUAAUGUGGCUUUAUGUAAUCAUAAGAUACAGUUUUAACCUUUAUUUUCUAAUAGGCACUACGUUUCACCCAAAGAUUAUGAAUCAGCCUGAAGAAGGGCCUGUGUGCCUAAAAGCUGUGUUUUUCUUCAAAGUUAUCAAGCUGCCCUAAUAAAAAAUAAUAAUUAAAA